Molecule: ribosomal RNA, 424 nt
Filed under: uncultured bacterium
Lineage: Bacteria
Description: bacterial SSU rRNA
Rfam family: Bacterial small subunit ribosomal RNA
Source: RNAcentral
UUAGGAAUCUUGGACAAUGGGCGCAAGCCUGAUCCAGCCAUGCCGCGUGAGUGAUGAAGGCCUUAGGGUUGUAAAGCUCUUUCAGCGGGGAAGAUAAUGACGGUACCCGCAGAAGAAGCCCCGGCUAACUUCGUGCCAGCAGCCGCGGUAAUACGAAGGGGGCUAGCGUUGCUCGGAAUCACUGGGCGUAAAGCGCACGUAGGCGGAUUUUUAAGUCAGGGGUGAAAUCCUGGAGCUCAACUCCAGAACUGCCUUUGAUACUGGGGAUCUCGAGUCCGGGAGAGGUGAGUGGAACUCCGAGUGUAGAGGUGAAAUUCGUAGAUAUUCGGAAGAACACCAGUGGCGAAGGCGGCUCACUGGCCCGGUACUGACGCUGAGGUGCGAAAGCGUGGGGAGCAAACAGGAUUAGAUACCCCCGUAGUCC